UGAACUGGAAUUGACAAUUACCCGGCCU
RNAcentral lists this non-coding RNA (28 nucleotides) under Mus musculus (house mouse). Lineage: Eukaryota; Metazoa; Chordata; Mammalia; Rodentia; Muridae. The record is from RNAcentral.